This 2116-nucleotide long non-coding RNA is filed under the name Mus musculus (house mouse). Its description in RNAcentral is "long non-coding RNA chr5:81231150-81233266". The record is from RNAcentral. Lineage: Eukaryota; Metazoa; Chordata; Mammalia; Rodentia; Muridae.
UUUUAUUUAGAAAAUGGCAGGAAAAAUUACUUUGGAUAGUUCAUAGAUUUCCCAAACGCUUUCAGAAAAGAUAUUACCAAGAAAGUCGCUUAGAAAUUUCAGGCAAUGAAGUAGCAAAUCUAUUUAACGUUAGAGAUGUGUUAAGCCUUUAAGACUUGUCUAGGUUAAAAUUUAGGGCUGUGCCAACUGUCAGUCCAUCUAGUCAAUAAAUAAAAUCAAAUUCCGGAUACUUUGCCACUUUUUACAUCUUCACUGCAGUGGACUCUGGACUCUCUUAUCGACAGGAAGUCCUCCUUAUAGCUGGUUACAAGCCUUGCUGUUCAGUCAGUUAGUCUUAAGGGAGUUGUCAACACGGUACCGUCAGGAGGCAUGCUCCAGACUGAGGGUAGUUUGAAACAAGAAUUAUUGUGUCAAUUUCUCUGGUUUUUUUCCUUCCCUUUCUUCAACCUUUUUGGAGCCCAUGUUUAAACUAAGCAACUGUGUUGUUAUGUCGUACAGGUAAAUGAUUCUUCCCUUUGUACUUCAUUGUUGGCUUUCAGGGCACCAAUAAGUUUUUACAUAAAUCUUAAAUUUCACUUUUUGAAUUUUCUGUCAUGUUCUUCUUUGUUUUUCUUUCCUUGCUAAGAUUUCGUGUUCAUCGUUAAAAUGGUUUCCUGUUUCAUUUCUUUCUUUCUUUCUUUCUUUCUUUCUUUUUUUUUUUUUUGUGGUUUUCUAAUUUAGCAUUGGAACAUUGGAAGAUGGUUGUAGAAAUCUCUGUGGGAUGACUAACUAUAAAAUCUAUGAAUUUUGACAAUGGCAAGUUUGUGACAUUCCUGGUUUUCCAUGUAGUUAAUGUUUUUUUCCCAUUAUAUAUUGUGUAUUGUGCUAUGUGUAUAUGGACUUGUAUUCAAACCUUGUUUUAGUUGGCUUGCUUUACUACAAUCUAAACUGUGGAUGUUUGUCACUAUCUUGUUGCUGGCCUAUGGAUAAACCUUUAAGUUUUUCUCUGACCCAUUGCAGAGGAGAGAUGCUUCUUAUUUUGAUUAAAUACACUUGGGAUAUGGGUGAGCUCACAGCUAGGGUCUACUGAUAUUUUCCUAUUAAGUAGACCUGAGUGACUAGUUGCCAUUCUAGACGCCAGAAGGUUAAGGUUUGGAUUCCAUUCACAUCAUCAUAUUUGUGAUGGGUUACAGUCUGUGUGCUUUGCUAUUGGUGUGUGGAAUGAGGAAUCCAAAGUCUUUAAAAGGGGAAUCUAGAGAGGUGACUCAAUGGUCAAGAGCUCUUGUUGCUCUCCCAAAGAACCCAGGUUAAAUUCCCAGCACUCACAUGGCUGCCCAUAACUCUCUGUAACUCUAGUUGCAGAAUAUCUGACACUCUCUUUGGAACUCUGUGAGCUAAACAUGCAGAAAAAGUACACAUACUCAUAAAAUAAAAUAAAUCUAAAAGAAUAUAUAUAUCCAAUUUAAGAUUUAAGGUGGAGGUCCUUGUUUUUUUCUUAGUGAUGUCUAUAUUACCCCUAAACUACUCUAGUAUCAGCUUUUUGAGAAGAGACAAUGUCAUAACCUAGUAGUUAUAUGAUAUAAGCUUCCUUGGCCUUUAUUGAUAUGGAAGGAGAUGGCAUCAUAAAUAAUUCUGCUUACUUUCUUAAAGUAGGGUGUGCUGUAUAGAAAACUUACCUGAGAGGCAGGCGGAUUUCUGAGUUUGAGGCCAGCCUGGUCUACAAAGUGAGUUCCAGGAUAGCCAGGGAUACACAGAGAAACUCUGUCUCUAAAAAACAAAAACAAAACAAAAAAACAAAAAAACAAAAAACAAAACUUUCCUGAAACAUUAUGAUGCUGUCAUCUUGGACCUUGUGCUCAAGGGAGUUAACUUUAUUAGUUUGAGGAGUUUUUGGGUUAUUUUUCUUUUUAACUUUCUCUUUUUUAAUUUAAUUUAAUUUAUUAUUUUAUUAGAUUUAAUUCUAUUAUUUUGUGUGUAUGUGUUUUGUCGGCAUGUAUGCCUGUUCACCACAUGGUCAGACUCCAUGCAGGUCCUUUGUAAGAUUGAUAAGUGCUCUUUACCAAUGCUCCAGGUCCGUUUGUGACACCUUUGAUUCAUGGUUGCAUCUUGUUGUUCUUUAUUUCCGAAAAUAUGCAGU